Molecule: non-coding RNA, 21 nt
Organism: Caenorhabditis elegans
Lineage: Eukaryota; Metazoa; Nematoda; Chromadorea; Rhabditida; Rhabditidae
Source: Ensembl
UACUUCUUUAUGUCCAAAACU